Molecule: transfer RNA, 73 nt
Filed under: Trogon personatus
Lineage: Eukaryota; Metazoa; Chordata; Aves; Trogoniformes; Trogonidae
Description: tRNA-Asn
Source: RNAcentral
UAGGUGGAAGCCAGUUGGUUUGGGCGUCUAGCUGUUAACUAGAAUUUUAUGGGAUCAAAGCCCAUCUACCUAG